GUGCUUACAUUGGCAGCACAUGAACCAAACCUGGAACAAUACAGAGAAGAUUAGCAUGGUCCCUGAGUAGGAGUGACAUGCAAAUUUGUGAAGCACUUCAUAUUUUU
Molecule: small nuclear RNA, 107 nt
Organism: Ochotona princeps (American pika)
Lineage: Eukaryota; Metazoa; Chordata; Mammalia; Lagomorpha; Ochotonidae
Source: Ensembl